RNAcentral lists this ribosomal RNA (498 nucleotides) under uncultured bacterium. Its description in RNAcentral is "partial 16S ribosomal RNA". It matches the Rfam family "Bacterial small subunit ribosomal RNA", at positions 30 to 523 of the family's 1533-position model. The record is from RNAcentral.
AUUGAACGCUGGCGGCAUGCCUUACACAUGCAAGUCGAACGGCAGCGGACCUUCGGUUGCCGGCGAGUGGCGAACGGGUGAGUAAAGUAUCGGAACGUACCUUUCAGUGGGGGAUAACGUAGCGAAAGUUACGCUAAUACCGCAUAUUCUGUGAGCAGGAAAGCAGGGGAUCGCAAGACCUUGCGCUGAUUGAGCGGCCGAUAUCAGAUUAGCUAGUUGGUGAGGUAAAGGCUCACCAAGGCGACGAUCUGUAGCGGGUCUGAGAGGAUGAUCCGCCACACUGGAACUGAGACACGGUCCAGACUCCUACGGGAGGCAGCAGUGGGGAAUUUUGGACAAUGGGGGCAACCCUGAUCCAGCCAUGCCGCGUGAGUGAAGAAGGCCUUCGGGUUGUAAAGCUCUUUCGGCCGGGAAGAAAUCGCGCCAGUUAAUACCUGGUGUGGAUGGCGGUACCGGAAUAAGAAGCACCGGCUAACUACGUGCCAGCCGCCGCGGUAA